RNAcentral lists this transfer RNA (54 nucleotides) under Chenopodium quinoa (quinoa). Its description in RNAcentral is "partial tRNA-His". Lineage: Eukaryota; Viridiplantae; Streptophyta; Magnoliopsida; Caryophyllales; Amaranthaceae. The record is from RNAcentral.
GGGGGAUGUAGCCAAUUGGAUCAAGGGAUUGGAUUGCGAAUCCACCAUGCGCGA